Molecule: ribosomal RNA, 463 nt
Filed under: uncultured bacterium
Lineage: Bacteria
Description: partial 16S ribosomal RNA
Rfam family: Bacterial small subunit ribosomal RNA
Source: RNAcentral
AAUCAACGCUGGCGGCGUGCCUAACACAUGCAAGUCGCACGAGAAAGGGUCUUCGGAUCUGAGUAAAGUGGCGCACGGGUGAGUAACACGUGAAUUAUCUACCUUCGAGUGGGGAAUAACUUCGGGAAACCGAGGCUAAUACCGCAUAAUAUCUACGGAUCAAAGCAGUAAUGCGCUUGAAGAGGAGUUCGCGGCAGAUUAGUUAGUUGGCGGGGUAAUGGCCCACCAAGACGAUGAUCUGUAUCCGGCCCGAGAGGGCGCACGGACACACUGGAACUGAAACACGGUCCAGACUCCUACGGGAGGCAGCAGUGGGGAAUUUUGCGCAAUGGGGGAAACCCUGACGCAGCAACGCCGCGUGGAGGAUGAAGUCUCUCGGGACGUAAACUCCUUUCGAUAGGGAAGAUUAUGACGGUACCUAUAGAAGAAGCCCCGGCUAACUUCGUGCCAGCCGCCGCGGUAA